Molecule: long non-coding RNA, 219 nt
Filed under: Mytilus galloprovincialis (Mediterranean mussel)
Lineage: Eukaryota; Metazoa; Mollusca; Bivalvia; Mytilida; Mytilidae
Source: RNAcentral
UUCAAAAAUCUGAAACUAGAGCCCAAAAUUUGAAAAAAAUGGUCCAAAAAUAGGGGGGGUCGACCUAUUCCAGGGCUCCUAGAGAAAAAUAAUGAGGGGUGUCACGGGUAUGACUAUAUAGGUCUUGUAGAGGAGAAACAGGCGCUUCUUUUGCGCAAGGUAUCGAAGGGCGCUAUGUUCAAAAAUCUGAAACUAGAGCUCAAAAUUUGAAAAAAAAAU